Molecule: small RNA, 116 nt
Filed under: Clostridium sp. K25
Lineage: Bacteria; Bacillati; Bacillota; Clostridia; Eubacteriales; Clostridiaceae
Description: Hfq binding sRNA
Source: RNAcentral
AACCACCUGCUAUGCAGGUGUGUUCAGAAAAGCUUUUAGCGAUGAUUAUGACAAAAAAGACCUCCUUUUGAUACAAUAGAAAAGGUUUCGUCAGCCAAUCUAAAGAACAAAAGGAG